GAGACAUGCAGAUGCUUAUCCCUUCACUCUCUCCCCACCACUCCCCAUUCCAUGGUGGCCUCCGCCUGUUCUCCCCGCUGCCUGCUCUCCUCCGCAUGCCGCGCCGUCGCACGACGCCUCCUCCCUGUUGCCACGAUGUCGCCCAGCGCCUCCUCCUCCACCCCUCUGCCUCGCCCCGCCGCCUCCUCGCCGCACGACGGCCUCGCCUCGCCGGCAACCCCGCCGGUCUUACCAAGAUAAACUCUGCCGCUGCCAUCCCCAUGUCCCAGCGCAGAUCUAGACGGGAGCUAGAGGGGCAUGCUGGACACGAUGCGGGAGCGGGCAUAUCAUAGCGGACCGAGAUCCAGUGCGUCUACGUGCCCGCCGUCAUCGUUGCCCCCCGUGCUUGGCUCCCACACUCGCUCCAGGUAGGUGCUCGCAGCUCACCUACUGCUCGGCUGCUCCAGUUAAAGCACAACGUGAGGCUGCAACAGAAGCUUGAGGAAUGCAGGGGCUAAUAAUAGUACUCAUCAACCAAAAAUACCGGCGUCGUCAACCAUGCUUUGAACUUUUGGAGAUCAAGCUGUACGGUUGUACCAUGAAGAUUUUUGAUGCAGUUUAAGGAUUCAAGUGGCGAUUGCAACCCAAAACAUUGCAAAGAAUCUGCUACCAGAGGCUUCAUUAUGCACACCUUUUCUUUUUACAAAAUGGAGUCUGAUCUGCUGUCAUCACAUCACCAGGUUUGAUUCCUUUUGUGACACAUUAAGUGGCCUCACAGGUGAAAGGAGGGGCGGCCACCCACUCGACGGUGCGGUGCAGGGUGGCAAGGGAGCCGGCAGGGAGGCGUCAACGCGGUGCAUGGCCGUGAGGGAACCGUCUAGGGAGGCGACGAUGCGAUGCAGGGAUCGAGGCCGCCGUGCAGGGAGGCGACGGGGCUGCUGAGCUUCGUCUGGGGCGGUGGCGAGGAAAGGCAGGGAGAGGGGCGAGGGAGACGAUUAGGUUUAGUUUCCUUUUAUUCAAAUUGAUUAGAUGGUUAGAUUAGCGUGAUUUGAGGGCCUGCGGAGGUGGGAUGGAGAGUUUCAUGUUUUCAUCUGGUGGAGUAUGGUCAGUCCAUGUAAACUGCUAAGCGCACACCAGAUCUCGAAUAAAUUAAUAAUGGCUGUUAGAUUGGGUCGU
Molecule: RNA transcript, 1155 nt
Organism: Triticum dicoccoides
Lineage: Eukaryota; Viridiplantae; Streptophyta; Magnoliopsida; Poales; Poaceae
Exons: 5
Source: RefSeq, a predicted model, not a curated record